UCCUACGGGAGGCAGCAGUGGGGAAUAUUGGACAAUGGGGGCAAGCCUGAUCCAGCCAUGCCGCGUGUGUGAAGAAGGCCUUCGGGUUGUAAAGCACUUUUGUUGGAAAGAAAAGCGGUCGGUUAAUACCCGGU
This 134-nucleotide ribosomal RNA is filed under the name uncultured bacterium. RNAcentral describes it as "partial 16S ribosomal RNA". It matches the Rfam family "Bacterial small subunit ribosomal RNA", at positions 337 to 469 of the family's 1533-position model. The record is from RNAcentral.